Molecule: small RNA, 2939 nt
Filed under: Cryptococcus neoformans H99
Lineage: Eukaryota; Fungi; Basidiomycota; Tremellomycetes; Tremellales; Cryptococcaceae
Description: Cryptococcus neoformans var. grubii H99 hypothetical RNA
Source: RNAcentral
UAUCAUUGCCAGAAUCCAUGAGCUUUGUAUAAAUACGCAAGUAUUCCUGCAAUAUCAUGGGGGAUAACAGACUGCAUAUUGAUGGGGAGAACCGGACAUCUGAUGCUCCCUCCCAACACUCUUGCUCGUUGCCGCAAAGAUCGAACUCAUGUCAGCUGAGGUUGACUAUGACCUGUGCUCUGCUAGCUCGCAUCGAGGGCCGCAUUGCAGGUGCAGGUCCAGCUGAAGAGGAUCAGGUAGUCAGCUAGCAGGACAAGGUCUGCGCAUUGGUACAAAUCACCACCGUCCUGGUGGGGAUCUUCAAUGAGGAGUUAAAGGAAGGGAGAGAGAUCGGACCCAUCCCUCUGUACUGAAGCUGCGGGGUCACGCCAGAAACGUUGUUGAAGCCCAUCCCAAGGGCAGCGAGAUUGAUUAUCCAGCAAUACUCGUCUCCGUUGACUUGAAAUGGCUGGGGUGACAUGCCGGCGCCGGAAUCAUUCAGGGUGGAAUUUAAAUCGUUGAAACAAGUCACGUUACUGCUGACCGAGACGAUAUAGACAAGGCCAAACUGCAUACCUGUAUUGGAACAUACCACAUGCUCAACAAUGAAACGACAGAUUAGACGUUUGGUUGCUUCAACCAACGUUGCUCUCCUGCUGUGUAUUAUUACAGUACGGGCCGACGCAAACUCGGAUUCGCCAAAAUGUCCUUGUCUCGCAACGAUCCAACCCCACAUCCCGAUGUUCUCUGCUCCCUCACACUGCGCUAGUAAUAGCAAAUACCGAGGAACCACUUGCAUCUCGGUAGCGGCGGGUAGCUGAUAAACGGACCCCUCGUCGCAGGCCAGAGUACGAUUUUCUCUAGGGUGUUGGGUCCCGUUGCAAUGAUAACUUCGCAAGGCUGGUCAGUGGAUUUGCAGUCCUCAUGCGCCAGGCCAAGAGUGUGCCCUAGCUCAUGUGACAUGAUAAAGGUAAGGACGUUCUGAAAGUUGCUCUGGAAAGCCGUGUUGUAAACGAAGAUGUCGCGGUUCCUAGCACCCGCUACACCCCGAGGUGGGAAGGGGGCAGUCGCGAGCACAUUGGGCUCUCUGGCAGACUUGGUCCGGUCAACAGCAAGAGUAUGGAACACGGCGUCGUUGCAGUUCUCCACAAACUCGAACGAGACGAAUUGCUUGUUCAGACCUGCGUUCCAGAAGUUGAUUGCACGUACCAUGGCGGAUGCAACGAUCGCUGAUGCUCGGAUGGGAACGGGGGAGGACGCAUAUGGGACCAGAUAAUCGUUAUUCCUCUCGACACAAAUGGAAAUCACCGACCCUCGUCUCCACCGGUUGGGCGUACCCGUCGCUCCUGAAUCCGCAAAUGUCCGCUUGUGAAGGGCUCGCCCAAUGUUCGCUUCAUUCCCAGUGCUGGUGUUGUUGUCGAAAGAAGUGGUGUUUCGAAUGUCAGGAUUGCCAAAAUUGUCCAAACAGAAGUCUCUCCCUAUCCCAGCUACAUUUGCUGUGAAAUUUUGACCCUGCUGCUGGCCUUCAUCGUCCGUCAAGUUACCAGACCCCUCCCCGAUACAGUAGUCGAACGGUACUUGGUCCGACACGGUCAGAUCGUCAUUGCUGUAAUCGCCGUCGAAGCUGAUCAUGGGCGGCCAGGGUCCAGCUGCCUCGGUGACGUUAACAAUGGCUUCAAGGGCAGGGUUGAGCGACUCGCUGUUGGGGUCUGGCCCUGGGGGGUCGGGAAUGAUCUGAUUGGUUUUCCCUCCUGAAUCACCACCUUGAUUACCUCCGGGGUUUCCACCAGUAUUGCCCCCAUGGUUCCCACCAGUAUUGUCCCCAUGGUUCCCACCAGUAUUGUCCCCAUGGUUCCCACCAGUAUUGUCCCCAUGUUUUCCACCGUAGUCCGGUCCCGUUGUCCAGACCCUAAUGGUGGGAUUACUGUCAGCCCAUCAACUCAGGCCACUGCAAGCAGGUGACUCACUGAUUGUUGUUACCCGUGCUGCACUGCCAGACCUGCAGCUGGUUGAAAUCAGACCGAUCCCCAUUGGCCCAGUCGAGGCACUUGCCCUGGUCGCGGAGAGCAAUUUUGUUAUCACUCGUCCAAUACCAGUCUUGCUGUCGGACGUCCAAGCACUUCCAGAUCUUCAUUUUGAUUCCGUCGGCUGCGUAAGGGUGGGUGGCAUCGAGACAGAAAUUGGUGCCGGCGAGCUGGACCUUGGUCUGACCGCGGCCGGCAUUGAGGACCCAGUCUUGAGCCGGGGUACCGUUGCAGUCGUAAACCUGAAUGGUAUCAGCGAAAGUGGCACAGUACGGUGUGGUGUCAUUGCUUGGGCUCACCUGCACGGGCUGACCGUCCUGAUGAUCAUUACCUAGGAGGUCAACGCACUUGCUUUUGUCCCCGUUUGGGUGUAGCCGCACAGUCUUGGUAGAUUGAACCGGCUGGAACUUGGGAGGGUCGCGCUCGAUGACAGCGGCGAAAGCGAGGGGUGCGAGGCCGAGAAUGUAGACGAUGUGCAUGAGUAUGAGGUCUUGUUGCGGAUGGCGUAGCAAAGGAUGAUUGUUGGACAAGGAGGGGAUAAUGCUUGUCCACUUUGGCCGAUCUUAUACUGUCUGGCUCAGAUAGCUAAGCACUGCCUUGCCGUGUUGCAUGUCCAUAGCAUGCGAUAAGAUUAUCUCUGAUACUGUAACGACGUUGUACGUAUGUCCUACAUAUGCACUGGGUUCGUUGUCGCGCAUAUCAUCCAGUCUGUAUAUGCCAAGAUAACGGGAUCCAGAGAGGAACAGCAUGUAGACCAAUGCCAAGGAGGCGGCACUCGGCCAGUUGCAGGAGUCGACAGUCAGCCGGUAUGAAUCCCAUCUGAUACAGGUCUCACUUGUAUUUUGUUAGCCACGAGCUUCCGGCGUGUGGGUUUGUGCGUACAGGGCAGAACGCCAAUACCCAACCCAAGGUUUAAACAAAAAGAAGCCCAAAAAC